GGAAAAAUGUCUGAGUGGUCGAAGGAACUGGUCUUGAAAACCAGCGUAUUUGAAAGAAUACCAGGGGUUCGAAUCCUCUUUUUUCCG
This 87-nucleotide transfer RNA is filed under the name Paenibacillus roseus. It matches the Rfam family "tRNA". Rfam says of the family: Transfer RNA (tRNA) molecules are approximately 80 nucleotides in length. Their secondary structure includes four short double-helical elements and three loops (D, anti-codon, and T loops). Lineage: Bacteria; Bacillati; Bacillota; Bacilli; Caryophanales; Paenibacillaceae. The record is from Rfam by way of RNAcentral.